AACGGGCAUUGCCUCGUAACGGCGAGUGAAGCGGCAAAAGCUCAAAUUUGAAAUCUAGCACCUUCGGUGUUCGAGUUGUAAUUUGAAGAUGGUAACCUUGGGUUUGGCUCUUGUCUAUGUUCCUUGGAACAGGACGUCAUAGAGGGUGAGAAUCCCGUCUGAUGAGAUGCCCAUUCCUAUGUAAGGUGCUAUCGAAGAGUCGAGUUGUUUGGGAAUGCAGCUCUAAGUGGGUGGUAAAUUCCAUCUAAAGCUAAAUAUUGGCGAGAGACCGAUAGCGAACAAGUACAGUGAUGGAAAGAUGAAAAGAACUUUGAAAAGAGAGUGAAAAAGUACGUGAAAUUGUUGAAAGGGAAGGGCAUUAGAUCAGACUUGGUGUUUUACGAUUAUCUUCUCUUCUUGAGUUGUGCACUCGUAUUUCACUGGGCCAGCAUCGAUUCGGAUGGCAAGAUAAUGGCAGUUGAAUGUGGCUUCACUUCGGUGGAGUGUUAUAGCUUCUGCUGAUAUUGCCUGUCUGGAUCGAGGGCUGCGUCUUUUGACUAGGAUGCUGGCGUAAUGAUCUAAUGCCGCCCUUGAAAAAAACCCCCG
This 585-nucleotide ribosomal RNA is filed under the name Hansenula anomala. RNAcentral describes it as "Wickerhamomyces anomalus partial large subunit ribosomal RNA". It matches the Rfam family "Eukaryotic large subunit ribosomal RNA", at positions 67 to 671 of the family's 3401-position model. The record is from RNAcentral. Lineage: Eukaryota; Fungi; Ascomycota; Saccharomycetes; Phaffomycetales; Wickerhamomycetaceae.